CAGUAGCCGCGGGAAUACGGAGGGGGCUAGCGUUGUUCGGAAUUACUGGGCGUAAAGCGCACGUAGGCGGCUUGGUAAGUUAGAGGUGAAAGCCUGGAGCUCAACUCCAGAAUUGCCUUUAAGACUGCCGAGCUAGCAGGUGAGAGAGGUAAGUGGAAUUCCGAGUGUAGAGGUGAAAUUCGUAGAUAUUGGGAAGAACACCGGUGGCGAAGGCGGCAACCUGGUCCUUGACUGACGCUGAGGCGCGAAAGCGUGGGGAGCAAACAGGAUUAGAUACCCCUGUAGUCCCUGUCUCUUAUAC
RNAcentral lists this ribosomal RNA (301 nucleotides) under uncultured bacterium. RNAcentral describes it as "partial 16S ribosomal RNA". It matches the Rfam family "Bacterial small subunit ribosomal RNA", at positions 509 to 807 of the family's 1533-position model. The record is from RNAcentral.